This is a non-coding RNA of Phasianus colchicus (ring-necked pheasant), 4497 nucleotides long. NCBI's taxonomy places the organism in Eukaryota, Metazoa, Chordata, Aves, Galliformes, Phasianidae. The record is from RefSeq and is a predicted model, not a curated record.
AGCCUCUCCUGCACAGAGACCAAAAAGGAAACAAGUUGGAUGAAGCAACGUCACCAACGGAGCAGCUCUGCUGUGUCCCUGAACCCAGAGAACCAAUCAUUGCACUACAGACGCAAGAAGGGAACACAAAGCAAGUCAUCUGCGCAAUAACUGAGCACUCGCAGCAUCAUAUUGGUGUGUGUGUCUCCUGCUUCACCGUAGGAGGGUUGUGCCAUUUGCAUGUGGUGCCUCGAUGUGAUUUGGUGAUGCAGCUGUCCGGCAUGCAGGUAAGCCUGGCAUCUUUGUGGUGGACAAGUUUUGCAUGCAGUAACUCAUGGGCAGCGUGGGUCAAACAGCAUCCGCUUCGGAGAGGGCAGCUGUACAACAUUUGGUCUCUUUUUCUACACAAAUCGGGCAUCUUAUCAAGCAGCUGGAGCUGGUCUUGCUGCUUCGUUUCGCCCAGCACAAGGGCAAUCUUCUGCUGACCUGUUUGAUGUGAGACAUUGGAUGAACAUCAGACAGGAGCUUUCAGAGUCCGUGGCCGUUAAUAAUAAGGAAGCGCGGUUAUCGGCACCCACAGUUGAUGAUGUUAAGGGUGAUGCUGCUAUCAUAGAGGCAUUGCAGGGAGCUUUGAUGUUGGCAAAGCCCCUGCUGGCCUGCCCUGUUGAUUCUAUAGGCUUCUGGUCACAGGAGCAAGUCUCUUGUCCCCUCCUAGUGCUCCCUGAGCUGCCUCCAAAUGCAGCGGCCGUGCAUCCAGCAGAGGAUAAGAUGGAUGUCGAUUUGUCCUCCUCCCACAUCCUUCCUCCGUUGCCUCCAUCUCUCACCUAUUCGUUGGAUGAGGAGUCAGCUACGUUUUGUGAACUUCACACCUCGCUACGGGAACAAAAGAUGCAGGAUCUCAAUCCUAAAAAGGAUUCUAGGACCAUUCAGCAGCAAUAUCUGAAGCCGUGUUGCCUGGGUUGACCAGUUUGGAAGAGCAGCUUAUCGGUGUUGGGUGUCGUGGUCCGGGGGGAAGAAUGGCAAAGGGAGGGUGGUGUGUCUGUAGAGGAGCAAUGAGGGUCAUCUGAAGGGAAAGAUGGGCCUUUGAGAGACAGGCAGCUUCGGUGGGUGGUGCAAUGAGUGAGGGAUGGUGAGAUGCUGGAAGUGGCUGCAUAUCGGGAAUGGAAUCGGUGGGGGGAGGAAGCUGAACACUUGCUAAUACGUUUUUUGGAAGCAGAAAAGAAGGAAGGAAAAGGUGAAGGGCUUCAGAAAGGAAAGGGUGCAAUAGGGGAGGAUUUGAAGGCUGAGGGAAAGGAUUUAGGAAAGCUGUGUUGGUGGUUAAGGAGGGAAAACAAAAAGUCCUUUGAUCAGAGCAGGAGCCAGAUUUAUUUCCACCUGAUCCGGAUGGCUUUGAUCCGGGACAGAGAUGGAAAGGGGUAAUGAAGGAUGCUCUUCUAGAAGGAGUGAUGUUACCAAAAUCUUUUACUGCCCUACCAGCAACGGUGAACCCACAGAGUCAGGUACAGUGGACCCCUUUUGAUUGGAAAACUGUUAGUAAUGCAAUACAGAAUGGAUAAUAAGCUGGUAGUGCAGAUGGUUACAGCUGUUUUUAAAGGUCAGGUUUUGGUACUGUCAGCUAAUGGAGCUGGUAUUGCCACCUACUGCCUAUUUACUUUUCUCAGAAAGGCAGAUGCAGCUCUACUACAGGAUCUUGAGUUACGGGAUGGGGAUUCCCAUAGUGGCUAAUAGGGAUAUGCUGGUAGGUUGGGGGAAUUGGACUGUGGGUCUGGCUGAAGCUUUGAUGCCACCAGCAGUGAUUCAGCAGGCACAAGAUUUGGCACUAGCAGCCUUUAGGGACCCAGCACCCGUCGUAUGUCGACAUCAAGCAGAAGCGUGGAGAAUCCUUUAUGCAAUUUAUUGAUUGCCUGAAGGAAGCGAUUGAUGCGUUGCCAAAUUUGACAGCCGAGGCCAAAGAUGCAGUUUUAAAGGAUUUAGUGGUGAUUAAUGCAAAUUCCCAGUGUCAGCAGAUUAUAGCUUCCCUGGGUCGAGAUGCUUCCCUUACUGCUAUUAUUGAGGCUUGUAUGGUGUUGACCAUGGAGAAAGUUAAAGCUAGAGCACAAGCUGAUGUGUUAGCAACUGUAUUAAAAGAUAUGAUGGGGGUGCCUUUGCUGCUAUAUUUUUGGACAGCCUGGGCAUUUUAAAAAGCAAUGUCCCCAUAAACCAUGCAGGCUGGCAUCUGGCCCAUGUUUCCAAUGGAAUAAGCCAGGGCAUCAAGCAAAAAGUGAUGAGCCUGAGACUCUCGCAAACAGGGAAACACAAAUCCCCAUCCCAAGGGGGGUGGAAUGGGGGUUCAUGACAAAAGCCCUGCAGAGGACUGGUUGCCUGCUUGACUGAGCUACUGGAACCAAAGGAUCUGCAGGAGUCGAUUUGGCUGUAGGACAACUCAUCCAAAUAGAUGAUAUUGCUGUGCAUUUAGUUGCAUCUGAUUGUUCCGGGCCAUUGGGGCAGGGUCUGAGCAUUCCUGUCAUUGGGAGGUUAUCUGCAAGCACAGCAGGGAUAUUGGUUGUCCCAGGAGUAGUAGACACUGAUUAGAUGGGAAAAUGUAUCUUAUGGUGCACAUCUGGUUCCCCCCAAAAAAGCUGGGGAGUGAAUUAAAGGGAAUUGAUUCCCUUUAAGGCCAAUGUUCUGAAACCAGGUGUGACAUACAGGGGAUCUGCUGGCUUCACUGGGCUGACAGCAGCCUUUGUGGAACAAAUAACACAAAAGAAGCCUCUAAGAAAGAUUUGUAUUAGCAGUCAUAAUAAAAAGAUAGAAGCUCUUUUAGGCACCGGUGCAGAUGUGGCCAUAGUUCCUGAUUCUGUAUGGCCACUUUAUUGGCCAACAAAACCAGCUGCAGCUCAAAUUAUAGUAUUGGGGGUCGAUCAAGCACUCGGCAGAGCCAAGUUCUGCUUACUUUGGUUGGCCUUCAAAAGAACCUCUCUGCCUUAAUAAGGCAGCCUUAUGUUCUUCCUGCACUGUAUGUCAUUAUCAGCAGGGAAAUCUUAUGGUAGUGGGGGGUAUCAAUGAUUACACCUUUUUAGCAGCAGCCAUUCUCGAAGGUAACCCUGUGUACAAUUGGAAUGGGUUACAGAACAGCCUGUUCUGGCCACUAUCAGAAUUUAUAGUUACUGAGCUAUCAAAAUUAGUAGAACAUGUAGCUAAAGGACAUUUACAACCCUCUUUUCUCUUGGGAUACAAACAAAAAGAAAUUAGGAAAAUGGUGUUUGCUUCACAAUCUGUAAUGAAAUGCUGUAAUGAAUGAUGAACGCUGUAAUGAAAGAGAUGGGGCCAUUACAAUUGGGAUUGCCUAGUCCGAAUAUGCUACCUGGAAAUUGGCAGCUGUUGGUAAAGAUUGCUUUUUCACCAUUCCUUUACAUCCUAACAAUUAUGAGAAGUUCUCUUUUGCAGGAUGAACAAUAGCAAAAAAGUGAUAUCACUGGGUUGUGCUCCCACAGGGAAUGAUAAAUUCACCCCCAAUGGUUGACCAGGCUUUACAGUCAGUUAGGAAAACUCAUCCAGAGGACAUUAUUUACCAUUACAUGGAUGAUGUUAUUAUUGCAUCACAACGGAUAAUUGAAGAGGGAAUGGUAGAAGAGCUACAAUCCAUCUCGCACCCAUUUAGGGUUUAGUAACAGCUCCAGAAAAGGUAGAGUGGAUGGAACCUUUCUUGUACCUGGGCUAUAAAGCAACUGGGGAGACGUUUCAACCACAAAAGGUGCAGAUUAGGGUUAAUAUCAAAACAGUACAGGAUGUCAUGAAACUGGGAGGGGGUCUGCAGUGGAUUCGGAAUUGCAUCAGCAUUAAUAUUAUGUUAGAACCAUUGUUUGCUUUAUUGAGGGAUGCUAAAACGAUAAGCAAGCCUCACAAACUAACAAAAGAAGCACAAGAAGCCAUACAAGCUAUCAGUGGCAAGCUAGAAAAUAAUACACAUCACCUUGAACUGUCCCUUCCAGUGAACUGUUAUAUAUGAGGCAAUUAUAUGGGCCAACAUCUCAAAUGUCACGGUGGAGGUAGGGAAAUUAAAUUAUUUGGCUGACAUUACUAAGCUACCUAACUACAAUUCACCAAUGGAACAGAGGUAUUUGAUAAAGAAUCUCUGGAAUAUCUCAAGGCUGCCACCACAAGAAUUGCAUUUGUUAGGGUCAGUACCCCCAUCGUCAUGGCAGGAUAUUUGUAUGGAUGGAUUGUUAUCAGAUGACUGAGAUGAUGGAUGUGUAAGCAGGAUGGGAUGUACAACAUUUGGGGGUGCCUGGCAGUUAGUUGUUACUUCAUGGAAUGAUUUUUUGGGUUUUUUUUUUGGUCCAACAGCCCAGAAUGUUACUGGAUGCAGUAUCUUGCCAUGUCGAUCCAUAUCAACAGGUGCAGAAGAUCAUGGGGGACAUCCAUUACCCCCUGGCUAUUUUUUUGAUCUGUGGCAACCAGGCAUGGCGUGGAAUUCCCCAGAAGCUUGGAUCUGGAUGGAUGGCUACAGGACCUGGUUAAAUAUGGUAUUGUGCUGUU